Non-coding RNA from Peromyscus eremicus (cactus mouse), 375 nucleotides. RefSeq annotates it as small Cajal body-specific RNA 2. The transcript has a single exon. Lineage: Eukaryota; Metazoa; Chordata; Mammalia; Rodentia; Cricetidae. The record is from RefSeq and is a predicted model, not a curated record.
UUGACCAAGAAGGAAAGUGCCUAGAGUAAUGGAUGCUGUAGUUGGCUGUGGAAGGCAUCUGUGGGCCGGUGAGGGAGUGAGUAUGCAAGUGUGUGAGCACCUGUGCCCCUCAACCCUUUUUCUUAUUUGAUAGAGACUUGUCUGAUGUAUAUCUCAGCCUGGCAGCCAGAAAUAAAAAGUUCCAAAGGCCCCUUCCUAGGGAGCUAUGCAGAAAGGACCUCUGGCCAAAGGCAGUGUCAUGAGUUUCCAAGGUACUAGUUCCUCAACCUCCUUCCUCUCUCCACCCCACACCCAGUGCUCAAGAGUGAGGAGCUGAUGAGAUAGGAGAAACUGGGUGUGUCCUGGCCACUGAUUAUGGAUGUGAUUCUGAUCUGA